AUGGAAGCUGAUGCUGCCGCCGCCUUGCUCGCCGGGAUACUCUCUAAGAGAGGGAUUGACGCCCCGGAAAAGCAGUUGCAUCGGUUGAUCAGGCUAGGGCAAAGAUGGGGACAUUUCCCUGAUACUCAUAUGCUAUUUUCCUUAUCGGAAUGGCGAGAUUUCAGAGACACAAUGUGGCAUAAGACCAUCGAGGGUGGCGACAAGGACAAGAAGGAGGUUAAGGCGGUGCAAGCUCUGUGGAGCACGGUCUUAGAGACCCUGGCAGCCGUGAAGGCUGAGGGAGAGGUCGCGGCUGCUGCUGCGACAAUGCUGCGCCCUACGCCACCUAGUGCCUCUUCCUGUCGUGGCGGCGGGUCUCAGUUUGCCAUCAGGGGAACCGUUUCCACGGGCAAACCGUACCGCACCGUGGCGGAGAUGCUGCAAAAACUACGGGGGGGUCCGGCCGGCUCUGCGGGAAAAGGGGAAGUUACCUCCGAGCCAGUCGGCUCGAGUACUGACGAGAACGCGGAAGUACAGCAGGAUGCCCGCCAGGAGCCGGGGGGGGGCGGGACAGCUCCUAGUGCCCCGCCUCUGCCGCCCGCAGAGGGGCCGCCUCGACCGUCGGUCCCUCCACCACCGCCCCCCCCGCAGCCCUUGCCGCCGUCCGCUCCUGAGGGAGCCGGCAGUGCGCCAUGCCCAGGGCCCUCGUCGCCGCCCGUACCGGGGGAGGGCAGCACAGCCCCGCCGAGGCUAUGGCGGGAGCCCCUGACAUCGUUAUCUCCGGAGUCGUCAGGCACAGCCUCGCCUACCACCCCCAUGGGGACAAAGCCGUUCACGGCUCAACUAUUAAAAAUGUUUGAGCAGCUGGAAAAGCUGGAACUGAGGGACGGGAGGAGGGACCUUCCCCCGUGUAUGCGGACCUCCGGUGGGUUCGUCCCGCGGGAGCCCCGGUGGAGUGGAAUCAUCAAGGACGCCAUUGUAGAGGGACAGUGGCAGCCAGCCCCCGGGGGAGGCGAGCCAUCGGCCUUGGCCUUCCCGAUCGUUUACAGAGGGGGAGAUAAAAAAUGGGAACCGCAUGAUUGGAAGAUCUUACAACAGGCCCGUACAACCGUUUCCACAUAUGGGAACGUUGCAACCCGGGAUGCCAUCACCUAG
This 1134-nucleotide long non-coding RNA is filed under the name Apteryx haastii (Great spotted kiwi). Its description in RNAcentral is "lncRNA (ENSAHAG00000000258.1)". The record is from RNAcentral. Lineage: Eukaryota; Metazoa; Chordata; Aves; Apterygiformes; Apterygidae.